GGGAGAUGGCUCAGUGGUUAAGAGCACUCCCUGGCUGCUCUCCCAGAGGACCUGGGUUCAAUUCCCAGCACCCA
RNAcentral lists this transfer RNA (74 nucleotides) under Cricetulus griseus (Chinese hamster). It matches the Rfam family "tRNA". From Rfam's summary of the family: Transfer RNA (tRNA) molecules are approximately 80 nucleotides in length. Their secondary structure includes four short double-helical elements and three loops (D, anti-codon, and T loops). The record is from Rfam by way of RNAcentral. Lineage: Eukaryota; Metazoa; Chordata; Mammalia; Rodentia; Cricetidae.